This 392-nucleotide ribosomal RNA is filed under the name Draculoides vinei. RNAcentral describes it as "partial 12S ribosomal RNA". Lineage: Eukaryota; Metazoa; Arthropoda; Arachnida; Schizomida; Hubbardiidae. The record is from RNAcentral.
GCGACGGGCGAUAUGUACAUAUCGAUAUAAAAUAUCAAAAAAACUAAUUAUUUCUUUUUUACUCCCUAAUCCAACCUUCAUAUUUCAUUAGACAUUACAACUAACUUUACAGUUUCAUAUUACAAUAUAAAAGUAACUCAUCUAAACCUAUAAAAAUCUACAUUUUGACUUGAAUUUUUUAUUUUAAAAUCAACCUCAUUUAUUUAAAUAAUAAAUAAUAAAUUAAACAGCAAUACAUAAAAAAAUUAUAGAUAAAAUUUAAUGAGUAAUAUCAAAUUAAAUAGACAAGUUCCUCAGAAUUUAACCAAAUACCGCCAAUACUUCUAAAAUUCAUUCAUAAAAAUCAAAUAAAAUCUUAAUAAUAUUUUUCAUUAAAAUAAUAGGGUAUCUAA